Molecule: unclassified non-coding RNA, 265 nt
Filed under: Basidiomycota sp.
Lineage: Eukaryota; Fungi; Basidiomycota
Description: partial contains small subunit ribosomal RNA, internal transcribed spacer 1, and 5.8S ribosomal RNA
Rfam family: Eukaryotic small subunit ribosomal RNA (bases 1-47)
Source: RNAcentral
AAAGUCGUAACAAGGUUUCCGUAGGUGAACCUGCGGAAGGAUCAUUAUCAUAACAUCCACGUUAAACCAUUGUGAACUGUCGCUUCUGUGAUUGUGCAGCUUGAUCUCGAUCGGGUUGUCUUUCGCCUAAGCAUUGUUAUCAUACACCAAUUGAACCCAUCAUUAUACCUUUGUACUAACCAUUUCAUACUCUUGGCUAAUAACCUGGAGAUGAGAUAAAUACGAAACAUAAGAACAACUCUUAGCAACGGAUAUCUUGGCUCUC